UACGGAGGGUGCAAGCGUUGCUCGGAAUUACUGGGCGUAAAGCGUACGCAGGCUGUCUGUUAAGUCGGGUGUGAAAUCUCGGGGCUCAACCCCGAGCGGUCGUGAGAAACUGGCAGGCUAGAGUGCGGGAGAGGAGAGUGGAAUUCCUGGUGUAGCGGUGAAAUGCGCAGAUAUCAGGAAGAACACCCGUGGCGAAGGCGGCUCUCUGGAGCGCAACUGACGCUGAGACGCGAAAGCGUGGGGAGCAAACAGG
This 253-nucleotide ribosomal RNA is filed under the name uncultured bacterium. RNAcentral's name for it is "partial 16S ribosomal RNA". It matches the Rfam family "Bacterial small subunit ribosomal RNA", at positions 524 to 776 of the family's 1533-position model. The record is from RNAcentral.